UACGUAGGGGGCGAGCGUUGUCCGGAUUUAUUGGGCGUAAAGAGCUCGUAGGCGGUUCGGCAAGUCAGGUGUAAAAACUCCAGGCUCAACUUGGAGAGGCCAUCUGAUACUGCCGUGACUAGAGUCCGGUAGAGGAGCACGGAAUUCCCGGUGUAGCGGUGAAAUGCGCAGAUAUCAGGAGGAACACCAGCGGCGAAGGCGGUGCUCUGGGCCGGAACUGACGCUGAGGAGCGAAAGCGUGGGGAGCGAACAGG
This 254-nucleotide ribosomal RNA is filed under the name uncultured bacterium. RNAcentral describes it as "partial 16S ribosomal RNA". It matches the Rfam family "Bacterial small subunit ribosomal RNA", at positions 524 to 776 of the family's 1533-position model. The record is from RNAcentral.